CGUUCUCAGUUCGGAUCGGAGUCUGCAACCCGACUCCGUGAAGCUGGAUUCGCUAGUAAUCGCGCAUCAGCCAUGGCGCGGUGAAUACGUUCCCGGGCCUUGUACACACCGCCCGUCACACCAUGAGAGUCGGGGACACCCGAAGUCCGUAGCCUAACCGCAAGGGGGGCGCGGCCGAAGGUGGAUUCGAUAAUUGGGGUGAAGUCGUAACAAGGUACC
RNAcentral lists this ribosomal RNA (219 nucleotides) under uncultured bacterium. RNAcentral describes it as "partial 16S ribosomal RNA". It matches the Rfam family "Bacterial small subunit ribosomal RNA", at positions 1283 to 1500 of the family's 1533-position model. The record is from RNAcentral.